Molecule: ribosomal RNA, 724 nt
Filed under: uncultured Staphylococcus sp.
Lineage: Bacteria; Bacillati; Bacillota; Bacilli; Caryophanales; Staphylococcaceae
Description: bacterial SSU rRNA
Rfam family: Bacterial small subunit ribosomal RNA
Source: RNAcentral
UUUGAACCGCAUGGUUCAAAAGUGAAAGACGGUCUUGCUGUCACUUAUAGAUGGAUCCGCGCUGCAUUAGCUAGUUGGUAAGGUAACGGCUUACCAAGGCAACGACGCAUAGCCGACCUGAGAGGGUGAUCGGCCACACUGGAACUGAGACACGGUCCAGACUCCUACGGGAGGCAGCAGUAGGGAAUCUUCCGCAAUGGGCGAAAGCCUGACGGAGCAACGCCGCGUGAGUGAUGAAGGUCUUCGGAUCGUAAAACUCUGUUAUUAGGGAAGAACAUAUGUGUAAGUAACUGUGCACAUCUUGACGGUACCUAAUCAGAAAGCCACGGCUAACUACGUGCCAGCAGCCGCGGUAAUACGUAGGCGGCAAGCGUUAUCCGGAAUUAUUGGGCGUAAAGCGCGCGUAGGCGGUUUUUUAAGUCUGACGUGAAAGCCCACGGCUCAACCGUGGAGGGUCAUUGGAAACUGGAAAACUUGAGUGCAGAAGAGGAAGGUGGAAUUCCAUGUGUAGCGGUGAAAUGCGCAGAGAUAUGGAGGAACACCCGUGGCGAAGGCGACUUUCUGGUCUGUAACUGACGCUGAUGUGCGAAAGCGUGGGGAUCAAACAGGAUUAGAUACCCUGGUAGUCCACGCCGUAAACGAUGAGUGCUAAGUGUUAGGGGGUUUCCGCCCCUUAGUGCUGCAGCUAACGCAUUAAGCACUCCGCCUGGGGAGUACGACCGCA